RNAcentral lists this ribosomal RNA (404 nucleotides) under uncultured bacterium. RNAcentral's name for it is "bacterial SSU rRNA". It matches the Rfam family "Bacterial small subunit ribosomal RNA", at positions 355 to 776 of the family's 1533-position model. The record is from RNAcentral. RNAcentral also lists the same sequence under 1 other name.
UGGGGAAUAUUGCACAAUGGGGGAAACCCUGAUGCAGCGACGCCGCGUGAACGAAGAAGUAUUUCGGUAUGUAAAGUUCUAUCAGCAGGGAAGAUAAUGACGGUACCUGACUAAGAAGCACCGGCUAAAUACGUGCCAGCAGCCGCGGUAAUACGUAUGGUGCAAGCGUUAUCCGGAUUUACUGGGUGUAAAGGGUGCGUAGGUGGCAUGGCAAGUCAGAAGUGAAAACACGGGGCUCAACCCCGUGACUGCUUUUGAAACUGUCAGGCUGGAGUGCAGGAGAGGAAAGCGGAAUUCCUAGUGUAGCGGUGAAAUGCGUAGAUAUUAGGAGGAACACCAGUGGCGAAGGCGGCUUUCUGGACUGUAACUGACACUGAGGCACGAAAGCGUGGGGAGCAAACAGG